Molecule: non-coding RNA, 109 nt
Organism: Acanthosepion pharaonis
Lineage: Eukaryota; Metazoa; Mollusca; Cephalopoda; Sepiida; Sepiidae
Source: the annotation of a GenBank genome assembly
GCCACAUCACGUUCAAAACACCGGUUCCCUUGCAACCAUAGAAGUUAAGCAACGUCGAGCCUAGUCAAUACCUAGAGGGUGACUGCUUGUGAAUUCCAAGUGCUGUAAU